This 379-nucleotide ribosomal RNA is filed under the name uncultured Anoxybacillus sp. Its description in RNAcentral is "bacterial SSU rRNA". It matches the Rfam family "Bacterial small subunit ribosomal RNA", at positions 1007 to 1382 of the family's 1533-position model. The record is from RNAcentral. Lineage: Bacteria; Bacillati; Bacillota; Bacilli; Caryophanales; Anoxybacillaceae.
GGGCGGUUCCCCCUUCGGGGGGACAGGGUGACAGGUGGUGCAUGGUUGUCGUCAGCUCGUGUCGUGAGAUGUUGGGUUAAGUCCCGCAACGAGCGCAACCCUCGACCUUAGUUGCCAGCAUUCAGUUGGGCACUCUAAGGUGACUGCCGGCUAAAAGUCGGAGGAAGGUGGGGAUGACGUCAAAUCAUCAUGCCCCUUAUGACCUGGGCUACACACGUGCUACAAUGGGCGGUACAAAGGGUCGCGAACCCGCGAGGGGGAGCCAAUCCCAAAAAGCCGCUCUCAGUUCGGAUUGCAGGCUGCAACUCGCCUACAUGAAGUCGGAAUCGCUAGUAAUCGCGGAUCAGCACGCCCGCGGUCCGAAUACGUUCCGGGCCUU